GACGAACGCUGGCGGCGUGCCUAAUACAUGCAAGUUGAGCGCUGAAGGUUGGUACUUGUACCAACUGGAUGAGCAGCGAACGGGUGAGUAACGCGUGGGGAAUCUGCCUUUGAGCGGGGGACAACAUUUGGAAACGAAUGCUAAUACCGCAUAAAAACUUUAAACACAAGUUUUAAGUUUGAAAGAUGCAAUUGCAUCACUCAAAGAUGAUCCCGCGUUGUAUUAGCUAAUUGGUGAGGUAAAGGCUCACCAAGGCGAUGAUACAUAGCCGACCUGAGAGGGUGAUCGGCCACAUUGGGACUGAGACACGGCCCAAACUCCUACGGGAGGCAGCAGUAGGGAAUCUUCGGCAAUGGACGAAAGUCUGACCGGGCAACGCCGCGUGAGUGAAGAAGGUUUUCGGAUCGUAAAACUCUGUUGGUAGAGAAGAACGUUGGUGAGAGUGGAAAGCGCAUCAAGUGACGGUAACUACCCAGAAAGGGACGGCUAACUACGUG
This 497-nucleotide ribosomal RNA is filed under the name uncultured bacterium. RNAcentral describes it as "partial 16S ribosomal RNA". It matches the Rfam family "Bacterial small subunit ribosomal RNA", at positions 28 to 507 of the family's 1533-position model. The record is from RNAcentral.